RNAcentral lists this ribosomal RNA (253 nucleotides) under uncultured bacterium. Its description in RNAcentral is "partial 16S ribosomal RNA". It matches the Rfam family "Bacterial small subunit ribosomal RNA", at positions 524 to 776 of the family's 1533-position model. The record is from RNAcentral.
UACGUAGGCAGCGAGCGUUGUUCGGAGUUACUGGGCGUAAAGAGCGCGCAGGCGGUCGUUCAAGUCGAGUGUGAAAGCCCCCGGCUCAACUGGGGAGGGUCACUCGAUACUGAUCGACUUGAAGGCGGGAGAGGGAAGCGGAAUUCCCGGUGUAGUGGUGAAAUGCGUAGAUAUCGGGAGGAACACCAGUGGCGAAGGCGGCUUUCUGGCCCGUUCUUGACGCUGAGGCGCGAAAGCUAGGGUAGCAAACGGG